Molecule: long non-coding RNA, 594 nt
Filed under: Mytilus galloprovincialis (Mediterranean mussel)
Lineage: Eukaryota; Metazoa; Mollusca; Bivalvia; Mytilida; Mytilidae
Source: RNAcentral
UUUUUGGUUGUAAUUUUGCAGAGCUGGUGCUCUACAUAAUGUUACAAUGUAAUAACCAUUAUUAUCAGUCUAAACACUGAUUUUUUUUAUUUCUAAAGCUCACACAAUAUUUGUUUUUAUACAAUUUGUAUGACGUGUUGACCACAUAUUUUUUUAACGCUAGCUUAUAGAUAAAUUAAAUGUAGAAAUUUCAUUCAGUCUGUCAGUGAAAGCACUAAAUACCAUAAACUGACAUGCUAUUAUGAAUUAACGUUAGGAGAAUUUGUAUUUUUUACUUGCGAUUUAGUUUAGAGUUUGGUUGUGUUUUAGUUCAUAUUUGGUUGUUGUUGAAGGUGAUAAUACAGAAACUUCUCAUAAGACGUACAUUCAAGGGAGGUAAUUUUGUACGUCUAAUAAGUCUGUGCAGUUGGUUGCAAUAACAUUAAAUGAAUAACUUAUUGGAUAAGAGAAAUAACAGACCAGCAUUGUAUGGUCACAUUCAUGCACACUUUUAAGUGAAUAUAGGCAAAGUAUUUAAUUGUUUUCAAAAGAAAGUAGAAUUGCUCAAAUAAAGAUCAGUGUUUAAAUUUUACCAAAAUUACUAGAGUGUUUUUA